Molecule: ribosomal RNA, 253 nt
Filed under: uncultured bacterium
Lineage: Bacteria
Description: partial 16S ribosomal RNA
Rfam family: Bacterial small subunit ribosomal RNA
Source: RNAcentral
UACGUAGGGACCGAGCGUUGUCCGGAAUCAUUGGGCGUAAAGAGCGUGUAGGCGGCUAUUUAAGUCCUGCGUGAAAUCCUGCGGCUCAACCGCAGACGGUCGUGGGAAACUGGAUGGCUAGAGUGCGGGAGAGGAGAGUGGAAUUCCCGGUGUAGCGGUGAAAUGCGCAGAUAUCAGGAAGAACACCUAUGGCGAAGGCAGCUCUCUGGGACGGUACUGACGCUGAGACGCGAAAGCGUGGGGAGCGAACAGG